This 253-nucleotide ribosomal RNA is filed under the name uncultured bacterium. RNAcentral describes it as "partial 16S ribosomal RNA". It matches the Rfam family "Bacterial small subunit ribosomal RNA", at positions 524 to 776 of the family's 1533-position model. The record is from RNAcentral.
UACGUAGGGUGCAAGCGUUAAUCGGAAUUACUGGGCGUAAAGCGCAUGCAGGUGGUUUGUUAAGUCAGAUGUGAAAGCCCUGGGCUCAACCUAGGAAUCGCAUUUGAAACUGACAAGCUAGAGUACUGUAGAGGGGGGUAGAAUUUCAGGUGUAGCGGUGAAAUGCGUAGAGAUCUGAAGGAAUACCGGUGGCGAAGGCGGCCCCCUGGACAGAUACUGACACUCAGAUGCGAAAGCGUGGGGAGCAAACAGG